AUUAAAAGAUGAUAUCACAAAAUUACUUUCCACGAAGUUGACGAAUUUCAUGGCAUCUUCGAAUGUUGACAUGUAACCAAAAGAUACUCUGACUGCUCCAGUUGGUUUUCCAUGUAAAAUGUCACGAUCAUCCCAGCACACAUGCCCAGCCUCAAUAUUUGAAAGAAGAUCCAAGUGUGACAAACCAAGAUAUUUAGCACAAGCACCAGGAUUGCAAAAACAUCCUGUCCGCAGUUGAAUUCCUGCCAAGGUUGCCAAUUUUUCCACCUCACGGUAUCCAUACCAUGUUCCAUCUGGUCUUUUCAUGUUGAAUGAAACUGUGGGGCCCAUCUCACUAGAUAAUAACCCGUACAGCGUGCAAACAAAUUCUCCAUUUUCAUGCUUCAGUGCCAAAAGCUUAUUCCUCACAUA
This 411-nucleotide unclassified non-coding RNA is filed under the name Hevea brasiliensis (rubber tree). The record is from RNAcentral. Lineage: Eukaryota; Viridiplantae; Streptophyta; Magnoliopsida; Malpighiales; Euphorbiaceae.